RNA transcript from Danaus plexippus (monarch butterfly), 2046 nucleotides. RefSeq lists it as uncharacterized. The transcript has 3 exons. NCBI's taxonomy places the organism in Eukaryota, Metazoa, Arthropoda, Insecta, Lepidoptera, Nymphalidae. The record is from RefSeq and is a predicted model, not a curated record.
UACUCGUCGAGUCGCAUGUAUCCGCACCGUUCUAAGUACAUUAUAAAAAGAGAACGUAACGAAUGGAAGUUUGAAUUAGAACGCUAACAGAAUGGAAUUUAAAAGUAACAAGAUAUUGGAGGAAGUACAUCCAUUAAACAUUAUCCGUGAGAUCCAAAAGUGGCCAGUGUUAUACUCCCGGGACGGCUCCCAGCGACCGACAGCCGGGACACACUUUAGGAGCAGGGUGUGGGCGGAGGUGGCCAGGAACCUGUUCCAGGAGUGGGACCAGUUCGCCCAAAAGACACAGGAACAAAAACGUACAUCCUAGAUACUGAUAAGACGAGGAAGAGAUUUCUUUUCAGAUUUGAACAAAAAAUGGCGAAACCUCCGGGAUACGUUCAAGAGACAACUCCUCCUAGAGAAGAAAAUGAGAGAGGGGCAGAAAAUAAAGAGAAAAACGUACGUUUACUUUGAACACAUGCAGUUCCUGCUGCCGUAUAUAGAGCCGGCUGAGCAGGACUCGGAGGUGAAGCCUCGCCUGCAAGAAUUCUUUAACAAGAGAGCGAAGAGGAAGGUCUCCAAAGACACUCAUAUUACUAAAAAAACUAGACCUAUGACCCAUCUGCUGGAUGAUGCACCUGCAGCUUCUAAUUUCGCGGAUGUUCUGGAUGCAGACCGACAUUUCCUUUUGUCUCUCAUACCAUCAUUCCAGACGAUGGCGGAAGACGACAAGCUCACGGCAAAAGUUGAAAUAUUAAAAGUUAUUAAAAAUAUUAAAAAGAAAACGGUAUCAAAGGACGGCGCUCCGGAGCCUGACUCGCUGACCCUCGAAGGAGACGAGGAACACCUCGGACAGACCAAGACCAGAAGAGAGACCAGCGACAACUACAUGGAGGGGAAAGGAUGAACAGAGACGUGGAUACAGAUGACACCAGCUCCGACUAGUGGUGUCAUGCCGACGUGUCGACCACUUUGCAGUAACAGUGACCUCUGUGGAGCGAGUUGAAAUGCGUAGGUACUCUUACUUAAUAUAUAUUUUAUACGUGAGUUUUUGACUUUUACCAAAAUUUAAAAAUAAUUCUCUUGAGUAUUUAUUUAUAUCAAUUAACGAAUGUUAAAGUUACUAAUUAGUAGGAGAAUCAACGGGUUUUAUAAAUUGUCUGAUAUACGGCGAUGUCGACGGUUGCCUUGAAAAGUAAAAAUGACUAUGUUAUUACUGGAGAGUUCAAUGAGCUGGUUGUUGCCUUUACAUAUAGAUCAUAACUCAGCUUGGUUAAUAUUCGACAUUAAAUGUCUCUGUUGAAAUUGUCCGUUAAGGUAAAAAAAUAUUACACGAUUGAGUUAGUAAGAAAAACGAUCAAUAUAUAAUCGAGUGUAUUUAAAAAUAUACUUUUAUUUACAAAGAAUUGAGAAAAUCUCCGAUUAGGGAAGUGUCAUUCUAAAAUUAGCGACAAUCAUAGUGGAAUACAAAGAUACAAGGAUUCCUACGACUACGAUGACGAUCAACAGGGACGCGAACAUGACGGAGCCGCUGACGAAGGCCAACGAGGAGACGAGGGCCGUGGAGCAGAUCAGCAGCGUCCAGAACAACACCAUGAACCAGAUGUACACCUCGCACAGGGCGUCACUCUCACUGACAGCCGCAAACAACAGCAGCACGUGCACCGCCGACACCUGCACGCCGAACAGACCGUACAGGUAGCGCAGCGGCUUAGCGAACUGCUGCGGCAGUCCACAGUCCUCCAGCAUGCUGUUCCCGUAGGAAGUGAAGCAGAAGAGAAAUACUCCGCCGCAUAGCAGACCCACUAACGAAAUGAUGACGAGACUCGGCCGCAGCGGCACGCAGCAGCAGCACUGGUUCAACGUUGGACAGUUCUCGAUCAGAGCACUCAUUCAAAAACAACUCCACAUUCAUUGACAACUCUACUGUUAAUGUUGACAUACUGCAGCUGACAGACACGGAAAGUGCUCAGCAGAUACUUUUGAUUGACAUGAAAUGUCGUCACUAAGGAGUUCACUGUCAAUUUGGUUACGAAAUAAAUUUAUUUUUUAUACUAUACGGAA